AAUGUAUGACACUGUUGACAUUUUAUCCAACGUUUGACCAUUCGUCUUAUUCAAAAAAUUUAUACAAUUAUCAUUUAUUUUAUUGUGACUCGAUUAAUCAUCAAAUGUUCUUUAAGCAUGAUAUAAAUACUUUUAUAUUUGAACGAAAAUUUUGAAUAAAACGAAUGGUCAAACGUUGAUCGAAAAGUCAACGGCGUCAUACAUU
Molecule: microRNA precursor, 205 nt
Filed under: Oryza glumipatula
Lineage: Eukaryota; Viridiplantae; Streptophyta; Magnoliopsida; Poales; Poaceae
Description: MIR812 microRNA precursor family
Rfam family: MIR812 microRNA precursor family (bases 27-205)
Source: Rfam by way of RNAcentral